AAAUUCAUAGGCGGCUGGUUUAAAACCAAAAAAAGGAACUACUUCUUCACACAAAUACACAGUCAAUCUGUAGAAUUUGUUGCCAGGGGAUGUUGUGAAGGCUAAAAGUAUAUAUGGGUUAAAAAAAGAAUUAGAUAUGUUCAUGGAGGAUAGGUCCAUCAAUAGCCAUUAGCCAAGAUGGUCUGGGAUGCAAC
Molecule: long non-coding RNA, 194 nt
Organism: Dermochelys coriacea (leatherback sea turtle)
Lineage: Eukaryota; Metazoa; Chordata; Testudines; Dermochelyidae
Exons: 4
Source: RefSeq, a predicted model, not a curated record